This 487-nucleotide ribosomal RNA is filed under the name uncultured bacterium. Its description in RNAcentral is "bacterial SSU rRNA". It matches the Rfam family "Bacterial small subunit ribosomal RNA", at positions 30 to 514 of the family's 1533-position model. The record is from RNAcentral.
UGAACGCUGGCGGCAUGCCUUACACAUGCAAGUCGAACGGUAACGCGGGGCAACCUGGCGACGAGUGGCGAACGGGUGAGUAAUAUAUCGGAACGUGCCCAGUAGUGGGGGAUAGCCCGGCGAAAGCCGGAUUAAUACCGCAUGAGACCUGAGGGUGAAAGCGGGGGAUCGCAAGACCUCGCGCUAUUGGAGCGGCCGAUAUCAGAUUAGCUAGUUGGUGGGGUAAAGGCCUACCAAGGCAACGAUCUGUAGUUGGUCUGAGAGGACGACCAGCCACACUGGAACUGAGACACGGUCCAGACUCCUACGGGAGGCAGCAGUGGGGAAUUUUGGACAAUGGACGCAAGUCUGAUCCAGCCAUUCCGCGUGCAGGAUGAAGGCCCUCGGGUUGUAAACUGCUUUUGUACGGAACGAAAAGGUUUCUAUUAAUACUAGGAGCUCAUGACGGUACCGUAAGAAUAAGCACCGGCUAACUACGUGCCAGCAG